Molecule: ribosomal RNA, 460 nt
Filed under: uncultured bacterium
Lineage: Bacteria
Description: partial 16S ribosomal RNA
Rfam family: Bacterial small subunit ribosomal RNA
Source: RNAcentral
CCUACGGGCGGCAGCAGUGAGGAAUAUUGGUCAAUGGACGAGAGUCUGAACCAGCCAAGUAGCGUGAAGGAUGACUGCCCUAUGGGUUGUAAACUUCUUUUAUAUGGGAAUAAAACGUUCCACGUGUGGGAUUUUGUAUGUACCAUAUGAAUAAGGAUCGGCUAACUCCGUGCCAGCAGCCGCGGUAAUACGGAGGAUCCUAGCGUUAUCCGGAUUUAUUGGGUUUAAAGGGAGCGUAGGUGGAUUGUUAAGUCAGUUGUGAAAGUUUGCGGCUCAACCGUAAAAUUGCAGUUGAAACUGGCAGUCUUGAGUACAGUAGAGGUGGGCGGAAUUCGUGGUGUAGCGGUGAAAUGCUUAGAUAUCACGAAGAACUCCGAUUGCGAAGGCAGUUCACUGGACUGCAACUGACACUGAGGCUCGAAAGUGUGGGUAUCAAACAGGAUUAGAUACCCUAGUAGUC